This 496-nucleotide ribosomal RNA is filed under the name uncultured bacterium. Its description in RNAcentral is "bacterial SSU rRNA". It matches the Rfam family "Bacterial small subunit ribosomal RNA", at positions 28 to 507 of the family's 1533-position model. The record is from RNAcentral.
GAUGAACGCUAGCGGCAGGCUUAAUACAUGCAAGUUGAGGGGCAGCAUGAUAUACGCGAGUAUAUUGAUGGCGACCGGCGGACGGGUGAGUAAUAGGUAGGAGACCUACCUCAUACAGGGGGAUAGCAUAGAGAAAUCUGUGGUAAUACCCCAUGAGGUUAUAUGAAUAGAGGCAUAUAAUCAAAGCAUAAGCGAUUAUGCGGUAUGAGAGGGGCCUACUGACCAUUAGCUAGUUGGUGAGGUAAGGGCUCACCAAGGCGAAGAUGGUUAGGGGUUUUGAGAGAGAGACCCCCCACAUUGGAACUGAGAGACGGUCCAGACUCCUACGGGAGGCAGCAGUAGGGAAUAUUGGGCAAUGGGCGAAAGCCUGACCCAGCCAUGCCGCGUGAAGGAAGACGGCCUUAUGGGUUGUAAACGUUCUUUACUACGCGAAUAGGAGGUUAGUACGAGAUACUAAUAGGAAGGUAGUGUAGUAAAAGCACCGGCUAACUCCGUG